RNAcentral lists this long non-coding RNA (8078 nucleotides) under Coffea arabica (coffee). Its description in RNAcentral is "long non-coding RNA (CARA_LNC001704)". The record is from RNAcentral. Lineage: Eukaryota; Viridiplantae; Streptophyta; Magnoliopsida; Gentianales; Rubiaceae.
UCAACAAGUCUGAAUCCGUUGAGGCUCUUAAUAAUGUUGAGGAUGUCGUCAUGGCUCAAACCUCGAUCCUCCGCGAACUUGCCGGAGUCGGAUAUCUCUUCGUUCUUCUCCAGAUAUCUGAGCACGGCCUCUUCCGCCAUAUUUUCUUUCUUCCUCUUUUAGGUUUAGUUGUCGUACUUGUUUACUUUGUAAAAACCCCACGUCGUCAGCGGCGCCGUGAAUCGGAAUGCCAAAAAGCCGUCAAAUGACGGAUGCUAGGGGUAUUCCAAGCUACAGGUGGGGAUAGCGUUGGUGCAGUGUAUAUUGUAGUCAAAAAGGUUUGCUCAGGGCUUUGAGCUGGUACGUCUCACUGUGAAUUACAUUCAGCAACCCGCCAAAAUAGGAUAAUUUACACAACGCUCCCCAAGAUCUCACUUAAUUUCACUCUACCUCUGAAAAGCACGUAAAGUUUUAUUUGAACGGGAAAUAGUUAAAUUAUACUACAUUUUAAAAAAAAAAAAUUGAGAAAGAAAAUAUUAAAAAAAAUCCUUAUUACAAACUUAUUGAUAUAGUAAUAUGUUUUGUUUUUAUAAAAUCAUGAAACUCGUACGUUCUUAUUAAAAAACUUUACAAUCCUGUCAAAUUUUAUAAUCUUAUAAAAACUGGCCUGAAUUUAUUAGUAAAUCAAUGUGCGCUGAUUUCCAUCAUCGCUAUAUGUAGUAAAUGUGAAAAAUUAAGCACAUUUGAUUGAAAAGACUUUAUAUAUAAUCUACUUCAGCCAGCACAAUGAACCGACCAGCUGGUGACCAGUAAAGUGCAUUUGCCUGCUUGCCCUUGAUAGUUGUGAGUUUUGAAACCCGACCAGUAUUAUGAGCAGUCCGCAUUGAGUAGAAACUUAUGUCAGGCCUAGGGUUAUCGCCAUGAAUAACUGCAAAUCUAUGGCCCUUUGGCUCCCAAGCAAAUGCAAUAAUCUUAUCAUUCUUAUUCUCAAGUUCCAAUACUUCAAUGGGAAUAUCUCUCUCUUUAAUUCUGAAAAGCUCAAACCCAGUAUACGUACUCUUCUUUGUUUUUGUGUACCGAUCAACUUUCACAGCCAGGUAGUCACCAUUGCUUUGCCAAUACAUUUUGCAGUCACUAACACUAAAAAGAUUCUUCUGCCUCAAUUCCUCCUUGCUUGGGAUUUGCACAAGACUUACCUAUUAUUAGAUUGUAAACUAUUAGCCUUUAGGGGGCAAAAAAUUACCUUCACAGAGUCAUGACACAAGGAAAAUUGCACCUGAGGAAGUAAAGAAACCUAAGAUCCACGUGCUAUUAAGAAACAUGAAUACCUUCUAUUUGGUGAAACUCAGCAAGAUGAGUCCUAUCAACAGCUUCAUUUCGAAAAACACGAUCUAUUGAAUAGUACUUCUUGGGAGCGAAAGGUUUCUGCAUACAAUCAUAGUUCCUUAGAUGAUAUUACACUGGCUGUCCACUAUAUGAAAAAUGCAGAAGCCAUUACAGACAAAACAAUCAUAAAAUAUGCAGGCAAGUCAACCCACUCUCACACCUGCUCUAUCCAAACACAGACAAAUACACACACACACACAGAGGGGGGGGGAAGAGAGAGAGAAAGAGAGGCAGAGAUUUUAUAAUGCACUAAUUACACAAGUAUUUCCAAGAAAAGAAUCACUUCGCACUAAACAAACUCACAACCAACUCUAAGCAUAUCUCAAUCUGCACUCAUUAUUACACUGGAGAUAACUAUGGAGGUUAUUGGGUCAAAUUUUGGUAUUGAAAUCGGAAUUGGAAUCAUAGACCCCACUACUGAGUAUGGGGUUUGGUUUGCAAGUCGAAUGGGUAUCAUUCUGUUAAAGAGCUCAUUAAUUUUAAACCCAAGUUUUGAGUGGGGAACAAUAGGUGGUAAGGUCUAAAACAUUCAUUCUAAUUGAAUGAUUCCUAUAGCAGUCGAUAACAUGUAUAACUCCGAAACCGGUUCCUACACCUCAUACCCAUUUAUUAAACAACCCCUAAAGCACAGACCUUCACAUACAAACUUACAUGAGCAUAUACAACAUUUUUGGAAAUAGAUAAAAAGGAGCUGGGAACUUUCAAGAUGGGAAAAAAAAAUAAAACCUGUGCAAGCAAGUACAGCAUCCGCGAAGAAACAGCAGUUGUAUGAGUCCUGAGAAGAUUCUUAUUUGCUUCCUCCCUUUUCCACUCAUAUCCAUACCUACAAAGACAGCUCUACUUAGAUGCAUUCAGUGCUGAAUAUAGAAUGGUAUUACAAGUAACUUUUACUAGCAUACCCUCGAGACCCAUAACCACCAUUUUCAUGAACUUCCUUGACCCGGUCCACAUAAUCUUCAGGCAGUGUCUUUGUAGUAGAAGGUUCUGUAAAUUUUAUGAACAUGCAUUUAUUAGAGAAAAUCAGAACGGACGAUAAACAUCCUAAGAUUAAAACCAAACCAACCUUUCAAGAAGAAUGUAUCAUGUGAAUCACGCGCAGGAUGUUGCUGUGGCUGGAAAAGCGCAUCAAAAUUCCAAAAGCUGCAACAUUGGAAAGAAUUUUUGUCAACUAAGAUUCAAUAACAAAACUACUAUUAUUUCUAUUACUUGAAAAGCUCCUCCAUCAGUUAAUAUAGAAAGAAGAAAAACUGUGGCACCAUUUUUUAUUAAGCAGAGCAAUCUCCAGCUUUGCUGACACCCAAUUGCAUAUUAAAGGAAGUAUCUAUUUACCGACAAAUCUCCUCAUAAUUAAAGGCCAUAAUAAUUACAAAAGGAAUCAUCUCCCUGUUCCAUUUUCAAAACCAGUCUUCAACAUUUACUUGCUACACUCCUGGUGACAACUCAUGAGAAGUGUGUCUACCACCCACUGCUAACCCAAAAGCUGAGAAGAAACUCCCCAAUCACCUCACACUUCAUAAUUGAGAACAAUGGGCCUCGGAGAGCUAUAGUAAAUUUACUUGUAUUCAUUUAAAUUCAUUGAGCAAUAUAAGAGAAGCUCUUCAGUAGAAAUGGCUUCAUAUGCCUCAUAAUAAGGAGGGGUGAAUCACAGUUUAAAUGUGAAAAUAGCAGCUGCAGGUUUUAGUGUCUCAAACAUUCUUUAUUUUCAUCACUUUCCUCUAGCUACUAAACUAAAAAUUUUGUCAAAACCUUGAGAAGGCUUUCUUUAGCUGAGGAGUAAGCAUGCAUUUGAUAAUCUACCUGCUUUCCACAAAAUUAUUUGUUGGCAUCUCCUCAAAUCUGCACAAAGCAAAGCAAUAACGAAGGUGCAGGCCAUAAAAAAACUCUUCUGAUGAAGGCAAAUAUAUAGCACGAAUGCAACAUCAACAAAAUGACCAGGUCAUACCCCAUCUGAAGAAAAAUCAUCUGUACUUGACGCCGUACCUAUAGCAAAUGUAAAAACAACAGCCGAUUAGUAAGCGCACAGAACAAUGCUACCUUAUAAAUGACUGUUGAAGUUGAUUAUUGAUGGCUAAUCACUGCAAGUGCUAGUUUUGUGCCUAACGUCAGAGUUAGUCAUUUAUGAAAUUAAUAUUCAGCCCAACUGCAACACCAGCAUACAGUAGGUUAUCCUAUAAUAAGAGACCACAGGGAUCCUUGAGUAAUGAAACAUAAACUCAGUCGUCAAAGAAACAACCAGAAAUUACACAAGUAGUUACUCAGUGGCAAGGAAUGUCUCAUGCAUUUUAGUAAGGUACACCUCACGAGUAUCUCUGUGCCUAAUAUUCAGUAAAUUCUUCACUUAGAAAUAUGCUCACAAGGAGAAGAAUUUUUUCUGCAUCCUAGUAAAAGGCAGAGACUUCAUAAACGGUAUGAAUAAAGGGUCUAAACAAGCUAUUCAAUCACCUCAACUUCAAAGGCCCAGCCAACUUUUCUAGGAUAAGCAAAACCAAAACCAGAACCAACUUUAGUUUGCAAUGCAUAACUCCUCAUGCUUCAACUUCAGGGAAACUAAUGAACAUAAGCGAAAGAGAAAAACCGGCAAGCAAAAUAAUGAAAAGCUAGCGAGACAGACAGAAACAAGGGAUUCCUGCCUUGAGCAACGGAUGUAGAUGACCACCUUCAAGUGGUUGACCUUUAGCACUGAAGUUGUACUCUUUAAACUCCAAUUCCUUCCAGUCGCCCCUUCAAGGACAAAAUAAGAAUAUGAGAACCCACCAGCCAUAAAAGCAUGCUAAUCCCGAUAAUAUCUCAUGUUGAUAAACUAAUUCAUGUAUCCUUAACCUCCCAAUCAUGAUAAAGCAAUAAAACGAUAUGACAAUACACAUCCUUGCUCAUGGAUUGAAGAUAUCACAGAGACACAUAUCUCUGUGAUAACGGACAUAUUGUGCAAACAAAAACCAAAAUUUUGUACAAUUAGCUAUCAAAGGUAGUUGACAUUAAAGACAUUCUCAAUAAGUAUAUGGUACAAUUUUAUACCAGCCAAGCCCAAAUUGCUCAAUUUCCUAGUUAUUUAUUUUGCAAAUGUAAAAAUUGAAAGUCUGCAUACAGUUUCCUUCAAAAGCAUAUCAUAGCAAGAAAAGCCUACUAAAGUACACAUAUGUAGGCAAAUUCAGGUUCCCAUCCAGCAAAUCAACAAUCCAAACUCAUUUUCAUUCUAUAGUAAGACACCAAACCAAAUUAGAUACUCAUCUACAAGUAUGAAAAUUAUUUGCUCUCUGAAGCACAUGUGAGCAAUUGAAAGCUAUCAAAUUUACUUAAGUAGGAACAUUUAAGACAUUCCAGCCAAUACGCACACAAGUUGAUAAAAGUAAAUUCACAAAAAAAGCCAUUUUAUUGUAUAGCUCACAAAUGAGAAACAGCAUGAAGUAUUACCAAAAAUUUACACAGUCAUCCAUCUCAACUAGCAUGAAGAGAAAUCUUUGCAUUCUUAACGAUGACUCACAGCAGUCAUUUUGACAAAAAACAGAUAAGCAUUUAAUUACCUCUGUAUAUUCUCUCGUGUAAGAUCAGUGGCAGCUUUUUUCCUUUUCGGAGCAUAUUUGGGACCCUUUCUGACUGAGUAACCUUUCCAUAUUCUAUAAAAAAAAAAAGUAAAACAUCUCAAAAAAAGGUAAUAUACAUCCUAAAGGUGCGUCACACAGAAUAAGCAACUUAAUAUCUCCAACGUAAAUAAAUAAAUGAAUAUGAAUUGCUUAAGACAUUACUGUUGAGUAAUAAGCUUUCUUCUUUUAAGAGCGUCAAUAUCCUCCGAACUUACUGCCUGCAAUUACAAUACCAUUUGCAGCAUAAAAGAUUAGUACCUAAUCGGCAGUGAAGUCCAAAUUAUAGUAGUCAACAAAUAGUAUUUAUUUUCUGAUACAUCAUAAUUUGUUAUAGAGCAACCUUACUUAGACAGCAAUAAACCUAAUUCAAUGGUUUAAUUAGACUAAGGGGUCAUGUCCAGAAAAGAAAAAAGCUCAGUCCUAAAUAAACCCACUUAAAUUGACAUGCUACCUUGUGAUAACUUGUUUAGAACAAUGUUGAAUUGCAUCACCCACUUGUAGUUAACAGAUCCACAAUUUGGCUACAUAAUCAACGUGAUUUGUUAAAGAAAAGCUGAAUGCUAACACAAGUAAAAACAAUUCACCCUAAGAUAGCAAGCUACUUCUUUCUUCUUUUGUUUCAAGUUUUUAAAUGAAAAAUCUAGUAAUUAAAGGCAACAAAAUGUUGAAUAUUAACACCAUGACUAUACAGUACAUUGUUAAUCAUUUGGCAGUAUGUUGUCAACUUACACAAGAACUAAUAGUUCAAACCAAUGUAAUUUUACUAAGAUAGGCUAGAACAAAUCCUGUUCUUGCAGCUUAAAGCACUAUUUGGAUAGGUAAAUGGCAAAUGAAAAUGGAAGCAACUAAUUCACCAAGGGAGGAGGAACAGAAAAUCCAAAAACUAUUAAAUGCACGAAAUACCAAUCUAAAACUAUUGAAAAUACUAAAUACCUCUCCAUUUUGGAUCUGUAGAAGUAAAAUUUUAAUUUUAUCCUCAACUUGCUGAACCUGCAAAGUGUUGAAUAAGACAAAAACAUAAGGGUUCGCAAUCAACAACAGAAGCUGACAGAGACUAUAGAUCUUAUCUUUUACUUCCACAUUUAAUAAUUUUUACUAGUGCAUUUUGGAUCCGUAAAAGUAAAAAUUUAACUUUAUCCCCAACAUGCUGAACCUGCAGUACAUUGAAUAAGACAAAACAUAACGAUCCACAAUCAACAAUAGAAGCCGAUACAGACUAUAGACCUUAUCUUUUACUUCCACAACUAAUAAUUUCAAAUAAAUGUCAAAUAGUUUUUAGAUGCAGAUACACCUAUUAGAACCUAAGUAUAGGGGUGGUCAUUAACACUGGCCCUUCUCUUGGACUCAAUGGUGAUAUUGUUAUCAGGAAAUAUAGCAUAAAGUUGAAAAUAAAUUGACAGCCAUGUAAUUCACAAUUGUUCCAUGCCAAUCUAAUUGUUACCUUUCUGGAAACUUGUGACUUUCCCAUCUCGAUCCAUUUAUUCUUUAUGGCCUGCUGGGAACCGAUCUUGAAAAUAGAGGACUCCAGCUUUUUCUGCACAUACGGAUAUCCCAUUUCACAAGCAUAUCUUCCAUAGUUAAGUAGACCCAAAAAAGGACCAAAAUUCAGAUCAGAAUGUCAUAGUUGCAGCUUGGUUGGUUUUUGUUGGUGCCAGAACUUUGAAGUUGCUUCACAACGAUACUAUAGGAGUGACAACUGAAGUUACUGUUUCCUAUAAGGGUCAAACCAAGAAACGAAUGUCUUGAAGACAUAAAGCACCAAAGCAAAAUUCACUCCAUACAGCAGGAUCAAACUCCAAACCUAUAAGCUCUAGGUCAAGUAACAGAAAAUAUAGGGUUUUGCAGGAAUUUGAUUGUAAAAUCAGUAUAAAAAAAAGAGAGAAAGAAAGACAUGCAUGGGAAGAAAACAUAAAAGGACUGUAGAAUACGAAUAAUGUCAAGCACAGUAGCGCAAGACCAAUGCAGAAAGCACCCAAAAUAUGUAAUCAAAUAAUGUUUGACAACCUGCAAGUCUUCCCGCAAUACCCUCCUCCGCUGGUAUAGCCAAGAAGAGUUGGACUUCGGGAGAUCCAGCUUCAGCAUACUUUUUUCCCUCAUCCGUGAGCACCCAUCUCUCCUUCUUAAUAUCCUGCACAAUUGGCAUGCAGCUAAAGUAAAAUCCCUAAGAUUUAAGUUCAUAAACCUCAAUUAGACAAUUUUUUGGCAAGCUUAAAAAAGGUACUGCUUAACAAGCAACUCAGGCACUUAAAACUAAAAUGGCAGAUACACAUGCCUAAAUCCACCUACCUUUGGCAUAUUAAAAUGAUCAUCAUCACAAUAUAACCAGAACAAUUUCCUGUAAUUCAAAAUUAACAAGAAGAAAAAACAAAAUUUGCUCCACAAAUUUUUUGCAGAACAUUAGGCCAAAAGCAGAUAAGGAAUCUGAAAAGGUGAUAAUUGACAAGCUACGAUAACUAAAAGAGUCAGAAAAUGCCAACCCAAAGAAAAAAAAAUUAGAGCUGCCUUUCAUAAAGUAUUUUGCCAGCUUGAAUAUCUCAAUUGAAAUUCCCAAAACUAAACUGAUUUUAUAAGGUACAUUUCUCUUAAACUUCAUCAUUUGAGCAAUCAACAGACAGAACUGUCUCUCGAUCUUUCUUUAUUCUCAAUCAAUUGGAGUAAAUAUCAAUUCCGUUCAUCUCAAGUUCCAAUGACCUAAAUACCUAAUUAAAAAAUAAGCGUCUUCGCCAUAAAAAAAAAAAAAAAAAAAGCGCCAAGCAUGCAUUUUUUUUACAGAUAAUAAACAUAAAAUGGGAAUUCAUACCUGAGCAUCAACAAGUCUGAAUCCGUUGAGGCUCUUAAUAAUGUUGACGAUGUCGUCAUGGCUCAAACCUCGAUCCUCCGCGAACUUGCCGGAGUCGGAUAUCUCUUCGUUCUUCUCCAGAUAUCUGAGCACGGCCUCUUCCGCCAUAUUUUCUUUCUUCCUCUUUUAGGUUUAGUUGUCGUACUUGUUUACUUUGUAAAAACCCCACGUCGUCAGCGGCGCCGUGAAUCGGAAUGCCAAAAAGCCGUCAAAUGACGGAGGCUAGGGGUAUUCCAAGCUAGAGGUGGGGAUAGCGUUGGUGCAGUGUAUAUUGUAGUCAAAAAGGCUUUCUC